Non-coding RNA from Salvelinus sp. IW2-2015, 982 nucleotides. The record is from RefSeq and is a predicted model, not a curated record. Lineage: Eukaryota; Metazoa; Chordata; Actinopteri; Salmoniformes; Salmonidae.
UUAUCUCUGUGUGUGUGUUUUGCGUCGUGACACUUCUCCAUUAUCGUCCCUCUACGACAACGUACCUGGAGGGGAAGGAAAAAACUCCUGUCCAAUUGUGCCUGAGCUGGGUGUGACCCUUUAAAGAAUGUCAAACAAAGACAGGGAGAGGUAGCGAGAGAGAGUGAGCGCCUCCUGAAUGGAGGGACUGUCACGCCUGUUGGUUUCCCACAGUCAACAUUACAUCAACAGCUCUAGUGAGGACAGGACCUACCUUACCUGGUUUGCCUACUGAGGGUGAGGACAGGACAUACUUACCUGGUUUGCCUACUGAGGGUGAGGACAGGACAUACUUUACCUGGUUUCCCUACUGAGGUUAACGGAGGAGCGGGUUUCAACUCGAGUCUGUCCGAAGCAACCGGUGGGAGUUGUAUGAGUGAGGUUGCCGUGGGAUCGUGUCUUUCAGGAUGAUUGACACCUUAUACGAGUGGAUUUGGUGGACCGCUUCUGGCUGCCAGUCAACCUGACCUGGGCGGACCUAGAGGACCGAGAUGGGCGUGUCUACGCCAAAGCCUCUGACUCUAUAUGUGACGUUGCCUUACGCCAUAGUCUCCUCCUGGUCAGAUACCUGUUCGAAAGGUUGAUAGCCACGCCUCUAGCAGCCUCAGUGGGAUCCGGGAGAAGGCCAGACUGAGAGUAGCAACAACCCCAUCCUCGAGCUCUACUAUCUCUCUCACUCCAGAACCCUGGCCAGGCAGUUAAAGAUGGUCUGUCUAAGAAGAGCGGCUGGUGCGUUAGGCAGGUGGAGCGCUGGUUCAGAAAGAGAAGAAACCAGGAUCGUCCCGGAGUACUGAAGAAGUUCAGAGAGGCUGGUUGGAGGUUUGUGUUCUAUCUGUUGGCGUUAAUUGGAGGAGUUGUGUCCCUGUAUGAUAAAGAAUGGUUUUAUGAUACGCGGGGAAGUGUGGAAUGGAUUUCCUAAACAGGUGCGUGUGUUGUGUGUGUG